AAGAAGGUUCAUGUCCCAGCCAAUGGUCCAAACAGAGGUCCUAUGCUCCAUCACAAAGGUAACAGCAAUGGAUUGUAGUGUGCCCAUAAAGCAGACAAGGGAUGUGAGUGAGAGCUGAGCUGCAUACCUCUUAAGCGUCACUGCCUGGAGAAUGAAGAAUGAGGCCCAAGCAAGAGUGGCAAUGAUGAGAAGAAUUGAACCCUUAAGCCAGUCUUUGUCAGUAGAUCCAGUGGUGACAGGAGCAGAGGAUGUAUCAGUGUGGACAUGAUCAGACCAAAUCAAAUUGAUAACAUGACCUUUGUACAGAGUCAUGAGCAUAGCUCCAGCCACUGUCACGAUAGUUCCAAUCACCUUUGCCUGGCAUCUCACUUUCUUUAAGUCCACUUUCUCCAUUCGGCAAAGAACGGCCAUAACGAAUGUCAUUGCUGGUAACAUGUUGCUCAUGGCACAAGAGAAGGUAGGCGACGUGAAUUUUAGCCCGGCGUAGUAAAAGUUUUGAUCAAUCACAGGCCCAAGAAGACCCAAUACGAAAAUUUGCAUGAAAAUGGGAAAUGUAAUCUUUGGCCUCACUUUCCUUUCAAGAACAAUAGCGAAAGGAGCAAUAGCAGCUGUGGCAAAGGCGUGCCUGUAGACGACAAGCACGUAAUGACUCAUCCCACGGUUGAGGGAAACCUUAGUAAUGAUAUUCAUGCCAGCAUAGCCAAAUUGCAGAGAUAUCAUUGCUAUGUAAGGCUUACACCUUUGAAUGAAACUACCAAAACAUCCAUUCCCCUCCAUUUUUUUUUUAUUUUCUGUAUUGUAAAUUCAGGGUCUUGUAGUUAGUAAGAGAAAGAGAGAG
RNAcentral lists this unclassified non-coding RNA (838 nucleotides) under Hevea brasiliensis (rubber tree). Lineage: Eukaryota; Viridiplantae; Streptophyta; Magnoliopsida; Malpighiales; Euphorbiaceae. The record is from RNAcentral.